Molecule: ribosomal RNA, 753 nt
Filed under: uncultured organism
Description: SSU rRNA
Rfam family: Bacterial small subunit ribosomal RNA
Source: RNAcentral
CGGUAACUGACGUUGAGGCUCGAAAGCAUGGGUAGCAAACAGGAUUAGAUACCCUGGUAGUCCAUGCCGUAAACGAUGAAUACUAGGUGUUGGGGAGCAUAGCUCUUUCAGUGCCGGAGCUAACGCAUUAAGUCUUUCCGCUUGGGGAGUACGUUCGCAAGAAUGAAAAUCAAAGGAAUUGACGGGGGCCCGCCCAAGCGGUGGAGCAUGUGGUUUAAUUGGAAGCAACGCGAAGAACCUUACCAAGUCUUGACAUCUUGCGAUAGCCUUAGAGAUAAGUCUUUCCUUUGGGACAGGGGAGACAGGUGGGGCAUGGUUGUUGUCAGUUGGUGUUGUGAGAUGUUGGGUUAAGUUCCGCAACGAGCGCAACCCCUAUCCCCAGUAGCCAGCAGUCAGGUUGGGCACUCUGAGGAGACUGCCAGGGAUAACCUGGAGGAAGACGGGGAUGACGUCAAAUCAUCAUGCCCCUUAUGAUUUGGGCUACACACGUGCUACAAUGGAGUAAACAAAGAGGAAGCAAGCUUGCGAGGGUAAGCAAAUCUCAAAAAUAACGUCCCAGUUCGGACUGCAGUCUGCAACUGGACUGCACGAAGUUGGAAUCGCUAGUAAUCGCGGAUCAGAAUGCCGCGGUGAAUACGUUCCCGGGUCUUGUACACCCCGCCCGUCACACCAUGGGAGUCAGUAACGCCCGAAGUCAGUGACCUACCUGCAAAGAAGGAGCUGCCGAAGGCGGGACCGAUGACUGGGGUGAAG